Papaver somniferum (opium poppy) is the source of this 2862-nucleotide long non-coding RNA. RefSeq lists it as uncharacterized. Lineage: Eukaryota; Viridiplantae; Streptophyta; Magnoliopsida; Ranunculales; Papaveraceae. The transcript has 4 exons. The record is from RefSeq and is a predicted model, not a curated record.
CAUAUCUUUCAUCUCCUUUCCAUCUCUGAAGCUUCAUGUCUUCUCCUCUGAAGUUUUAUCUCCUCUUCAUCUCUUAAGAACUGCGUGAUUAUAAACUUCAUCUCUCUUUCAUCUCUAAACCCACUGAAAUCAACAGCCAGGGUACAAUCGUUCGCAUAAUACUUUCGUUUCUCUUUAUAGGGUUUAUAGAUUUUGAUUUCUAGGGUUGGCAUAAUCUCUUUUUUAAUCGAUUUUAGGCUUUCCAUUAUGGAUCUGCUUUUUUUGAUUUUAGGGAUUUUGAUUUGAGGGUUACAUCUAUUAAUAUGCUAUGAGAAAGCUUGAAAUCGUUCCAUCGAUUUUAUUAUUGAAUAAUUUGUCUCAAGUAAAUUAGGUCAAACAAGUUUUAAGGAGAUUCAAUCGAAUUUCAGGCACAGAGGAUCUGCACCCCCUACCCAACGAUCACCCAUACAACAAACGUCCAUGUAUUAGUGGCCCAUAGAGGGUGGCCCACAGCUUAGGGGACGUGUGGAAGAUACUAGUCGCCUAUUUUUAAUAUCCCUGGAUAAACUUAUAAUAUAUAUAUAUAUAUAUUUGAUAUGAAAACACCUUUUAUUCAACAACUUAAUUUAUAAAAUUUAAAUUGAUAGAUUUUCGAUCAUCUCAAACAGCCUUUUUGAAAUUUUCUGGGAUAUCACAAGAGUAAUCAAAAGAGGACAGAUUUAGAAGUUUUAGCAAUUAUAUAAAGAACAUUAUUAGCUGCUAUUUUAACAUGACUUAUUAAAACACAGGAAAAGCCAGAAAAACUAGAGAGUAGAUACCGUAUGUCUUCUAUGAUACCAAGGUUGUUCCACUGAACUAAAGAUUUUAUCUUGUUGAUGGAGUUAAUUACAUUCAGACUGUCACUUUCCAAAAUAACUUGUUGAAGAUUGCAAUCUCUAGCCUACGGUAAAGCUUCUUUCAUGGCUAGAUGUUCUGCAUUUUCUGGAUAUAUUCCUCAAUUGAAGUAUCUCCCUUUGAUGGCUCUGCAACUACCUAUUGAAUGGCGAAUGACUAGCCCAAUUGCAUAUUCAGGAGUGUCAUAAUCAAAAGAAGCAUCUAUAUUAAUUUUAAGAACUCCAUUGGUUGGGGAAAUCCAAACUUGCUUUUGUUUCUGCUUUCCUAAGGUGUAACAGGUACACACUGAUUCACCAUGUACAUGAUAGAAUGGAGCGUAAACAGAAAUUUUGAUUUUUGUUCUCAUAAACUUUGGCACAUAUAUUCUUCCAGAUAAGCCAUGCAUUAGUCAUAAGAAUUAUGACCCUAUGAUUCCAAUCAUAAGUAUCAAUAGCAUUAGAUUAAUGGAACCAACUAGAAAUCCAGUCACUCUCGAUAUUUGACUUUCUAUACAAGCAGUGUUCACAUUCAUCGCAAGCCAUAUAGAUAUGGAGUGAUCACAUUGUAUAAGCAGGUGUUGAAGUGUUUCUUCAUCUUGAGAACAUCGUGGACAAAUUGGAUCUAUAUCAGAAUUACAUUUGCUUAGUUUGACUCUAGUUGGCACAAUUCUCUUAAUACACUUCCAUAUGAACAAUUUAGCCUUGUGUGGAGUUGUGAUUUCCAUAGUUUUUCCAAGUUAACAUUUGUAGUACUUCUAGUGAUGGGUCUGAGUCAGGAGACGCAAUUGUUAAAUCUCUAUAAGUAUCUUUAACUGUGAAAUCACCUGUUUUACUAGGCUCCCAAAUUAACUUAUCUGAACCAUGAUGACUUAUAUACAUUCUUAAAAUUAAGAAUGCAAUAUCAUCUAAAGUAAAUUCUUAACAAGUUGUUCAUUCCAUCUUUUUGGAUUUUGUAACAUGAGAUCUGAAACAUAAACUAUUCUAGCAGGUUCUUUAAAGGAGUCUUUUGGAGUUGGAGGUGUUUUUGGAAAAAUAAGCUUUUGCGGCGAAAUUGGCUCAAAAUGUGGCAUUUGUACCUCCGUAGGUAACGUACCAGAAGCACCCCAGAAAUAUCCCAGAGGAACCCAGAAAAAGUGUUGAAAACAUCCCAAAAAAAUUACUAAAGGAACCCAAUGGAUAAGUGUUAUGCGGACCCAGCACCCUGGAUAAGGGGUAACCUAAUUACCAGGGGACACCAUCUGCAUGGUUUGAAAGAAACUUUUUGGAAGGAAAAUUCUUCUUCUCACUGACAGUUCAGAGUUCGAAUUUUUAGAGAAUUAGAGUGAGAUUCAAUCUGGAAAUUUUGGUGGGCUGGACUUCCUAGAGCAUAAUAGUGUUGGUAUGGUUGAUUUGAUCGAACGAGUUGGGCUAAACAAGCUAAAAAAAGGAAACAGAGGUGAAACAUAUUUUCGGGAUGCUGUAUGGUUGAUUUUUGGUAAUAUGAUUAGACUAAAGGCCAGAUAAGAUUCUCUAAGAUUUAUAUCAAUCUAAUGAAGGGUUUGGAUUAAUUGGAACACCUGAGAAGCGCGUGAAUCAAAUAGGGAAAGUGAAAGUUCCGUAACUUCCACGAAAAGAAAAAGUGAAAUUUAAUCGGGAUUUUUAGGUUUCUGAAGUGUAUAAAAGGUAGAGGGGAGUCCCAAAAACCGGUUCGAGGAAUUUGGGGUCUAUACGUAGCUUAGAGGAAGCUCAGGGACGAAGAAAUCACGCUGCAAAGAAAGUUGCAACAGCUGGAAGAAGCUGAAGAAUACGAAGAACGGACUUCCGAAGACAGUCGUUCUUCAACAGUGUUUACGACAAAGGGUUUGGGGUCGCAGCUGCAGUCUCAACAACACUUCGUAUCUAUUGUUCUUCUUCUAGCAGCUGAACAGCGCCUUUGCAAUAGUUAUUUAUGUUGCGAUUUUUCUGUUCAAUUGUUUUACUCCCUUUUAAUCAACUUUUGAGCUUUAUACAUGUAUUUCGAGAUCAUGAUUAA